UACGGAGGGUGCAAGCGUUGUCCGGAUUUAUUGGGUUUAAAGGGUGCGUAGGUGGCGUGUUAAGUCAGUGGUGAAAGCCUGCAGCUCAACUGUAGAGGUGCCAUUGAUACUGACAUGCUUGAGUAUGGACGAGGUAGGCGGAAUUUGUGGUGUAGCGGUGAAAUGCAUAGAUACCACAAAGAACACCGAUAGCGAAGGCAGCUUACUGGACCAUAACUGACACUGAGGCACGAAAGCGUGGGGAGCGAACAGG
This 253-nucleotide ribosomal RNA is filed under the name uncultured prokaryote. RNAcentral's name for it is "partial 16S ribosomal RNA". It matches the Rfam family "Bacterial small subunit ribosomal RNA", at positions 524 to 776 of the family's 1533-position model. The record is from RNAcentral.